RNAcentral lists this ribosomal RNA (253 nucleotides) under uncultured bacterium. RNAcentral's name for it is "partial 16S ribosomal RNA". It matches the Rfam family "Bacterial small subunit ribosomal RNA", at positions 524 to 776 of the family's 1533-position model. The record is from RNAcentral.
UACGAAGGGGGCUAGCGUUGCUCGGAAUCACUGGGCGUAAAGCGCACGUAGGCGGCUUUUUAAGUCAGGGGUGAAAUCCUGGAGCUCAACUCCAGAACUGCCUUUGAAACUAGGUAGCUAGAAUCUUGGAGAGGUCAGUGGAAUUCCGAGUGUAGAGGUGAAAUUCGUAGAUAUUCGGAAGAACACCAGUGGCGAAGGCGACUGACUGGACAAGUAUUGACGCUGAGGUGCGAAAGCGUGGGGAGCAAACAGG